Molecule: non-coding RNA, 305 nt
Organism: Pelobates cultripes (western spadefoot toad)
Lineage: Eukaryota; Metazoa; Chordata; Amphibia; Anura; Pelobatidae
Source: the annotation of a GenBank genome assembly
CACGAGGUGGCGGCCAUUUUGUUCGCAUGAACGCAGGCAGCGGUGUUUGGGCAUGAAUCUCAUGGAACUAAAAUCGGACACAGAAUAUCCCGAAUACUGCUGGAUUUCCAUCAUCGCCUGCGUUCGGUUCUACACAAGUUGGAAGGGCACUGUUCGGUGGAAUUGUUCAUCUGAGACCAUUGACUAUGUUCGGUAGUUUGUUAAUUUUUAAACUACCGAACUAGACCAACCGCUAGCCCUAAAUUUAUGGAACUGUUUUGGGCAUGGGACCAUGCGUGAUGUCAGUCAAACAAAUGACUUCCAGG